GAUGAACGCUGACAGCAUGCUUAACACAUGCGAGUCGAUUGGGAAGUGGUGCUUGCACCAUGGUAACCAUGGCGGACGGGUGAGUAACGCGUAAGGAACUUGCCUGCGGGACUGGGAUAACAGCAGGAAACUGCUGAUAAUACCGGAUAAGGUCAUUAAGCUGCAUAGCUUAGUGAUGAAAGGAGACGCCUGCGGAGAGCCUUGCGUCCUAUUAGCUAGUUGGAGGGGUAACGGCCCACCAAGGCGAAGAUAGGUAGCCGGCCAGAGAGGGUGGACGGCCACAAGGGGACUGAGAUACGGCCCUUACUCCUACGGGAGGCAGCAGUGGGGAAUAUUGGACAAUGGGGGCAACCCUGAUCCAGCAAUUCUGUGUGCACGAAGACGGUUUUCGGAUUGUAAAGUGCUUUCAGCAGGGAAGAAGGAAGUGACGGUACCUGCAGAAGAAGCGACGGCUAAAUACGUG
This 463-nucleotide ribosomal RNA is filed under the name uncultured bacterium. RNAcentral describes it as "partial 16S ribosomal RNA". It matches the Rfam family "Bacterial small subunit ribosomal RNA", at positions 28 to 507 of the family's 1533-position model. The record is from RNAcentral.